UGGGGAAUAUUGCACAAUGGGCGCAAGCCUGAUGCAGCCAUGCCGCGUGUGUGAAGAAGGCCUUCGGGUUGUAAAGCACUUUCAGCGAGGAGGAAGGUGGUGAGCUUAAUACGCUCAUCAAUUGACGUUACUCGCAGAAGAAGCACCGGCUAACUCCGUGCCAGCAGCCGCGGUAAUACGGAGGGUGCAAGCGUUAAUCGGAAUUACUGGGCGUAAAGCGCACGCAGGCGGUUUGUUAAGUCAGAUGUGAAAUCCCCGGGCUCAACCUGGGAACUGCAUUUGAAACUGGCAAGCUAGAGUCUCGUAGAGGGGGGUAGAAUUCCAGGUGUAGCGGUGAAAUGCGUAGAGAUCUGGAGGAAUACCGGUGGCGAAGGCGGCCCCCUGGACGAAGACUGACGCUCAGGUGCGAAAGCGUGGGGAGCAAAACAGGAUUAGAUACCCUGGUGGUCCACGCUGUAAAACGAUGUCGAUUUUGGAGGUUGUGCCCUUGAGGCGUGGCUUCCGGAGCUAACGCGUUAAAUCGACCGCCUGGGGAGUACGGCCGCAAGGUU
RNAcentral lists this ribosomal RNA (551 nucleotides) under uncultured bacterium. RNAcentral describes it as "partial 16S ribosomal RNA". It matches the Rfam family "Bacterial small subunit ribosomal RNA", at positions 355 to 895 of the family's 1533-position model. The record is from RNAcentral.